Long non-coding RNA from Homo sapiens (human), 1671 nucleotides. Ensembl annotates it as long intergenic non-protein coding RNA 1102. NCBI's taxonomy places the organism in Eukaryota, Metazoa, Chordata, Mammalia, Primates, Hominidae. The record is from Ensembl.
AGAAAGGCAAAGAGUGGAAGACUUUGCUGCCGCCUGGGGCUCUUCCCCAGCUCCUGAGUUCCUGCUCUGGCAGCAAUUCAGCUGAAACAAGAAGAGUAUUGGCGAGUCAGCGGAUGGGAGCCUCUCUGUCACUGCCCCAUGUGAUAGCAGCGUGGGCACUGGCCAAAUUCUUCUCCACAGCUCCUUUAUUCUCUGAAUCCCCACUGGCCAGGAGUCAGAGAACCAAGCAGGGACAAGAACACUGUAGGAGAAUCUGGCCCCAUUUAAUCCGCAGUACCCUGCCAGAAAAAGAAGGAGAGGCUGAUCCCCAGUAAGAGGGAACAGAGUGGCACCCACAAAUACGGAAUGAAGACAUUUGGAGAAGAAGCGUUUACUGAAAGGAGAUUCCUGGGCUGGAGGAAAACCAUGAUCUACAGUUCAUGUUGACAGAUAUUGUAUUUUUGGUCCUAGAUCUGACUUUUGAAAUGACUUAUCACAAAUUCAAAUUUAGCAAUCAUGAGUGAAGUACCCACGAUGUGCUAAGCAUCUACCUCUGCAGAUAGAAGAACACUUACUGUUCCUGAGCAUGGGAGGGAAUAGAAGUUCCUGGGUCCUGGCCUCACCUCAUCAGGCACUGCCAAAUUUGACACCUCCUUCCUGUUCACGGCAGUCCUUUGCGAUAGGGUAUUAGAUGCCACCAAGUAGCUGCAUAACUCACCCAUUUGGUCAGAGCCUGGGUCUAAGCCAGGUCUGACAGACUCCAAAGCAAGCCCUGUUUACAGCAUGACUGGGAUCCAGUGGACGAGGGAACUGAGCUGUCAAAACUAAGUGACUUGAUUGAGGCCAUGCAGCUGGCGAGGGGAGGACCAGGAUCUGAACCCAACUGGGUCUCCCAAGCCUGGGCCACUGAACCAUUUCACCUCUUGGAAAAACUUAAUGGUCAGAGUGGCCCACCCAGUCCAUGGACAGCAUGGAGGAUAAACUGCUUCCCUAGAAAUCCUCUCCAGCAUUCUUGCCACCACGACUUUGGGACACAUUGACCAUGAGGAGGAGCUGGUCAAUGAUGGACAGGAGUCCAGAUUAGCAGAGAUGUGGUAAUAAGGACACCGAUGCCUAAAUACUUGAAAUAUCCAAUAGGAAGCAUUCCACCUUUGUGCAAAUGCGAACCACAUCUCACCAAGUUCAGGCCAAGGCUGCCACCGGUGACGUUUUGGAAAAGAAAAAAAAAAGCGGGGGGAGAGGAGAGAAACAGAGAAGCAAGGAAUGCAGAAGAGAGCAGAGGCCACAAAAACAGCAGCAACGUGUCCUGUGUAUUCUGUUUCCUUGUAAAACUAUGAAGCAUGUUAAGGAGAUACUUCAUUUUUUGAGGAUUCAUACUCUUGUUUAUAUUAUAAUAAAAACAACCCAUGUUCUUUCUAAAAAUUUAGGCAAUGCCUUCGUGCACAUAAAAGUAAAACAAAAUCACCUGUAAUCCUACCACACGCAGAUCAGCACUUGCUAAUCUUUUCACAGGGAUCCUAAGAAUAUCCUAUUCUCUAUAGAAUAUAGUUGAUUUAUGUUACCUAAUAACUAACUGUUAACCAUUUUAAAAUUCUUCAGUUUUACAUUAUGCUAGAAAAAAGGAGCCGUCACUCUACGUGACAUUUCUGUAUAUUGGUUUAUUCAUUCAAUAAACAUUUUUUAAGUACCUAC